RNAcentral lists this non-coding RNA (99 nucleotides) under Xanthomonas citri pv. fuscans. RNAcentral describes it as "traJ-II". It matches the Rfam family "traJ-II RNA". The record is from RNAcentral. Lineage: Bacteria; Pseudomonadati; Pseudomonadota; Gammaproteobacteria; Lysobacterales; Lysobacteraceae.
CGGCAAGAUGUGUGUUGUGGGUCCACAGGCUUCGCCUGUUCCCCCCCAACACCGCCCCUUACUCACCUGCGGUUCGACGGCAUCUUGCUCUGCGAGGCU